RNAcentral lists this ribosomal RNA (712 nucleotides) under uncultured Thermoproteales archaeon. Its description in RNAcentral is "partial 16S ribosomal RNA". It matches the Rfam family "Archaeal small subunit ribosomal RNA", at positions 1 to 693 of the family's 1478-position model. The record is from RNAcentral. Lineage: Archaea; Thermoproteati; Thermoproteota; Thermoprotei; Thermoproteales.
UCCGGUUGAUCCUGCCGGACCCGACCGCUAUCGGGGUAGGGCUAAGCCAUGCGAGUCGCGCGCCCGGGGGCGCCCGGGAGCGGCGCACGGCUCAGUAACACGUGCCCAACCUACCCUCGGGAGGGGGACACCCCCGGGAAACUGGGGCCAAUCCCCCAUAGGGGAGGGGCGCUGGAAGGCCCCCUCCCCCAAAGGGAUGGCGGCCGAUCCGCCGCCAUCCGCCCGAGGAUGGGGGCACGGCCCAUCAGGUAGUUGGCGAGUUAAAGGCCCGCCAAGCCGAAGACGGGUAGGGGCGGUGAGAGCCGCGAGCCCCGAGAUCGGCACUGAGACAAGGGCCGAGGCCCUACGGGGUGCAGCAGGCGCGAAUACUCCACAAUGCGGGCAACCGCGACGGGGCUACCCCGAGUGCCGGGCGAAGAGCCCGGCUUUUGCCCGGUCUAAAAAGCCGGGAGAAUAAGCGGGGGGCAAGUCUGGUGUCAGCCGCCGCGGUAAUACCAGCUCCGCGAGUGGUCGGGGUGUUUACUGGGCUUAAAGCGCCCGUAGCCGGCCCGGCAAGUCGCUCCUGAAAUCCCCGGGCUCAACCCGGGGGCGGGGGGCGAUACUGCCGGGCUAGGGGGGCGGGAGAGGCCGCCGGUACUCCGGGGGUAGGGGCGAAAUCCGUUAAUCCCCGGAGGACCACCAGUGGCGAAAGCGGGCGGCCAGAACGCGCCCG